This 409-nucleotide ribosomal RNA is filed under the name uncultured bacterium. RNAcentral's name for it is "bacterial SSU rRNA". It matches the Rfam family "Bacterial small subunit ribosomal RNA", at positions 976 to 1381 of the family's 1533-position model. The record is from RNAcentral.
AAGCCUUGACAUUGAUUGAAUCCCGUAGAGAUACAGGAGUGCCAUUUCGGUGGAACAUGAAAACAGGUGCUGCACGGCUGUCGUCAGCUCGUGUCGUGAGAUGUUGGGUUAAGUCCCGCAACGAGCGCAACCCUCGUCGUUAGUUGCUAACAGUUCGGCUGAGCACUCUAGCGAGACUGCCUUCGCAAGGAGGAGGAAGGUGAGGACGACGUCAAGUCAUCAUGGCCCUUAUGGCUUGGGCUACACACGUGCUACAAUGGGGCGUACAGAGAGUUGCGAUACCGCGAGGUGGAGCUAAUCUCAUAAAGCGUCUCUCAGUUCGGAUUGGACUCUGCAACUCGAGUCCAUGAAGCUGGAAUCACUAGUAAUCGUAGAUCAGCAAUGCUACGGUGAAUACGUUCCCGGGUCU